CAGAAGCAAGGCUUAAAGGCUCUCCAGCUGUGCUUUACCCAAGCAUGCCUGUCUACUUGAUCCAAGAGGCUGGAAGAGUCAUGCACUCUACUGCAUCUCUGCUUGUCAAGGUAAUGGUUAAAAGUGACAGAAAAAAAUGAGCAAACAUGUUUCCUUUGGAAGUUCUCUGCGCAAGGAGCAAAGACCUACUGCCUCCUCCUUCAGACAGAAGUGGAAUUAUUAUUACACUGAGUAAUUUCAUUCAGGUGAGCAACAUGUUUAGUUUUAUAAAAAUCUCUUUUGAUAUGUGGAAAAUGAAUGAGAGGAAGAAAGGGAGUUGGCAAAAAGUUAGAAAAGAUUGCAACAGCUGUGGAGAGGAGUCGUGGCUUAGACUUGGGUAGUAUCAAAUGUAGAAUCUGGAUGAAUUUCAGAGAAUUCUUUUAAUGGUAGCGUAGAAAGAACUUGGUUAUUGAUGAGGUGUUAGGGUGAGAGAAUAGAGAAUAGCAUACUCGUGAUUGAUAUUCAGAUGUUUUGGGCAGUGCAUUGAUCUCUAGAAUAUAAAUUCCAAGAAGGCAAGGAUUUUCAUCUGUUUUGUUCACUGAUGUAUCACAAGUUCCUAGAAUAAUACCUAGCAAAUAGUAUGUGAUCUAUAAAUAUUAAUGAAUAACAGUGAAUGAGGAACAGACUGGAGCUAUAGGGGACACAUUGGAUUCAUUUAUCUUGACUUUUGAAAUAAAGUAAGCAUCUAAGCUGAAAUAUAUGGUAAG
RNAcentral lists this long non-coding RNA (746 nucleotides) under Sus scrofa (pig). RNAcentral's name for it is "lncRNA (ENSSSCG00070017872.1)". Lineage: Eukaryota; Metazoa; Chordata; Mammalia; Artiodactyla; Suidae. The record is from RNAcentral.